This 214-nucleotide unclassified non-coding RNA is filed under the name uncultured fungus. RNAcentral describes it as "sequence contains ITS1, 5.8S rRNA gene". The record is from RNAcentral. Lineage: Eukaryota; Fungi.
CCGGGAUUGAUUGUCUUUUGACAUCAUCUCCAUGACCCUUUUUGUUUAUUCAAAAUGUCUUUUUUCUUCGGCAAGACGUCUUUUUUUGACUCUCUCCUUUUGGGGAAGUUUUUUCAAAGCCAUUGACUGGUCUGAGAGGACAAGUGAAUGUGUUUGCUUGCCGAAGUCUUUUACUCUUUAUUAUUGAAGUCUGAGUAUACAAACAAAUAAAUUA